GGUGGUUUCGGUGGCCUCCGUGUUAACAGCCGUCUACUCAUCCCUGUUCCCUACGCCGACCCGGCUGAUGACUAUACUCUCUUAGUGGGAGACUUUUUCAACAAGGGACACACCGGCCUCAAGAAGAUUCUUGAUAGCGGUCGCAACCUUGGGAGAUGUGACGGUGUCCACCUUAAUGGGAAAGUUGCGAAAGGUGAUGGGAAGGAUGAACCUCUGUUUACGAUGGAGGCAGGCAAAACGUACAAGUACAGGAUUUGCAAUACGGGUAUCAAGACAUCUCUGAACGUCAGGUUCCAGGGCCACACCAUGAAAUUGGUUGAGAUGGAGGGUUCCCACACAAUGCAGAAUGACUAUGACUCCCUUGAUGUUCAUGUUGGACAGUGCUUCAGUGUGCUUGUUACUGCCAACCAGGAACCAAGGGAUUACCAUGUGGUGGCCUCUACCCGUUUUACCAGACGUGAGGUUACAGCAACCGGCAUCAUCCGUUACAAGAAUGGCAAGGGAGCUGCCUCAUCCGAGUUGCCACCACCACCUGUUGGUUGGGCUUGGUCACUCAAUCAAUUCCGUACCUUCCGUUGGAACUUGACUUCUAACGCUGCUAGGCCUAACCCUCAGGGCUCCUACAAAUAUGGUUCCAUUAACAUUACCCGCACCAUCAAGCUUGCCAACACUGCACAAAGAGUAGAUGGCAAGCUCCGAUAUNNNNNNNNNNNNNNNNNNNNNNNNNNNNNNNNNNNNNNNNNNNNNNNNNNNNNNNNNNNNNNNNNNNNNNNNNNNNNNNNNNNNNNNNNNNNNNNNNNNNCUCUUAAUGGAGUCUCCUAUGUCGAACCAACCACUCCACUAAAACUUGCAGAAUACUACGGCGUAGCCGACAAGGUUUUCAAGUAUGAUACCAUUCCCGAUGAGCCACCGAGUGACAACACUAAGGUAACUUUGGCACCUAUUGUCCUCAACAUGACACACAGAAACUUUGUGGAAAUCAUCUUCGAGAAUCACGAGACCGCCAUUCAGUCUUACCACUUGUCUGGCUACUCAUUCUUUGCCGUGGGGUAAGUAUAGCUUCUAACAUAACAAAUACAUGUGGUGAUUUUAUUGCCUGAGUUGAAGUAAUAAGUUGUAUAAUGAUUUGUUGCAGCAUGGACAUUGGGAAAUGGAGCCCUGAGAAGAGGAUGAACUACAAUCUUCUCGACGCCGUGAGCAGACACACCAUACAGGUAUUCCCCAACUCCUGGUCAGCAAUCCUAUUGACAUUCGACAACUGCGGGAUGUGGAACCUGAGGUCGGAGAUAUGGGACAGGCAUUACCUUGGGCAACAGCUUUAUGCUAGUGUUAUUUCCCCUAACCGAUCCCUGAAGGAUGAGUACAACUUGCCGGAAGGUGUAUUGACUUGCGGCAUCGUGCAAGGCAUGCCAAGGCCUCCACCUUUCAGCAGUUAAUUUAAAUAAGCUUAUAAAUCUGUAUCCAAUUCUGGUGUAUGGGGAGAGAGAGGGUGAGAAAAGCUUGAGUUCUGUACAAUAUGUAAUGAAAUAAAAGCUUUUGGACCACUUUAUUGUUACUAAUUUUCGUGUGUUGCCCUCGAAUAUACACACAUUUAAGUUAUUUUCAAUAUAAAAAAACAGAUAUUUUCAAAAUUGUACAAUAUUUUAAAGAUGAAUGAUUUAAGCAUGGUUUAUACUACUAAUUAUUUUGAUAUUUUCAAAAUUGAUAUAAAUAAAUAAUUAAGUUAUAUUAACAAAGAAAUUUAAAAUAAAUAAUCUAUAUAUUUUUUGUUGAUAUACUUCUGCUUGGAACAUUGAUCUUCAUCAAUAUAAAUAAAUCAUUCUACUAUGGCGGUUCAACUUUUUGUUUCUUUUUAUUCAUUUAUUUUUGUAAAUUUCAAAUUUAGAUAUGUCAAAUUGUAAACAUUUAUUUGUCAAAAAGGCUCUUUAAAAUAUGAAAAAAAAAUUAAGUCAUUGUAUACAUUUUGUACUUAAUUAAGUCCCUAUCAUUAAUUAAAAUAAUCAAUUAAGCCACGUAAAAUAAAUUGAUGGAGCAAUAGAUAGAGAUAGUAAUAGCUUCUAGAUUAAUCUAUUAUUUUUCCUAUAAAAAAUAUUAAAAAAUUAAAAAAAAUUAUCAAAAAUAUAAAUAUUAUUAAAUAUUAAAAAAAUAAAAUUGGUAUAAACUUAUAAAAUUUUAAAAAAUUCUAAAAUUAAUAAAAUAUAUUUAAAAUAUUUAAAAUUUUAUAAAAAACAUUACAACUCUAUAAAAAUAAUAAAAAAUAUUAGAAGUAUUAAAUUUGAUAUAAAAUAAUAAUAACUUGAUUUGGGUUGGAUUAGUCAGUUGGACCGGUUAGACCAAAAUCGACAAGGAUAUCGAUCUAGAGAAAGCCAUUAGGCCGGUUGACAUUGGAACCGGAUGGUUGAACCGAUUCUUUAUCUUUUUAAUAUAUAUAUUUUAUUUCUUAAUGUUUUAUUUAAUUAAACUGGACGAAUUAGUCGAAAUGGUAAACCGAUGGCUUAAUUUAAAUUUUUUUGAAAAAGAUAUUAGAUUAAACUAUAAGCUACCACGUCUCAUCAUCUAAUUGGCCUACCAAUUUAUUUUAACAGUCAAUGUAAUCAAUUUCGAACAUCGUUAAAUAUUUUAAUUAAUGCCAAGAAUUUAAUUGGGUGCGAAUUUAAUAUAUGGAUAGACCUUUUGACAUAUAAACCUAUUGAAAAUAAGGUUAUUAUAUUUUAUCUCCCAAUAAUUACAUGGAAUAUUUGAAAUUCAAGCACUCCCUAGAUGACUUUGCUUGGAGACUAGCAUAAUUUAAGGCACUCUUCGCACGAAGAUGGACAAAUUGUGGAUGAUUAAGAAAUUGAAUAGUCUGCUAUGUUUGAAUAUGCUACUAGCUCGUUCUAAUAAUUGAAUUAUUUGAACAAAGUUGAGAAACAAGACCGGAACGUCAAGAAUCCAAGGACGAAUAAUGAAUUUGGUUUGUGAUCUCGUGUCAUAACUCAUUAAGUAGCUAAGUUUAAUGAAUUGAUAUUGAUGAAUGUUCUCAUAAAAGGCAUGUUAUAGCUUAGUUGACUUUGAUGGCAAUAAUGGCUGUGAUGAUUUUCAUAUGGGUAUAUAUUUUAGUAUUCCGGUGUAAUGAGCGUUAGGACACAUCACUUACUUUAAUUCUUUGUUGGGUUAUUAGGUACUUCAAUAUACUAAUUUGCGUAAUCACCAUUGAAUUUGAAAUCGAUUAAUAAGUGUAUCAUGUGUCUAAGAUACAGAAGUGGUAUAUGAUUGAAAUUGAUUAAUAGGGACUAAAAUAUAAGUAUUAUGUGACUUAUGCUUAAGUUAUAACAGAUUUUGUAAGUCUUAGGAUGAUUUGAGAAAUAAGAUGACAUGUUUAAAUGGUAUAAAUUGUCUUUUUAUAUCCUAAUGUCCGAUUUUCGUAUAUCUCAAAAUUUUCCCGCUCGAAUUAAUUCAGCUUUAUAACUAUACUCUAAGGCCUCAAACUAUCAAUAAAACACCAUUUUUGUCCAAAGUUCUCAACAAUCUCAUUCAAGCUCUCAAGAACUCAUCAAUGGCUAUAUUAUCUAUGUUUAAUUAAGUCUUGUUUCUACACAUCCCACUUCAUUUCUAGCAUGUUUUCCACAAAGUUGAAGCUUAACACUAGAUAUUCAUGGAUUCAAGUUUUCAUUCUCUAAGUUCUCUAAUGCUUAGGCUAUGUUCAUCAAAGUAUCACAAACUAAGAUUUUAACAAAUUCAAGUGAAAAGUUCACCUUCCUUAGUAAUUUGAUGGACGAUAAUGGAAGAGUAACCUAAAGAAUUUCUUUCUUUCUUUUGCUUCUCUCACCAAUUGAACACACACACACACACACACACACACACACACACACAUAUAUACAUAAUUAAUCUAAUUACUCAUUAAUCUAAUGGCUGCAAUUGAGCUUAAAGAAUGGUCAAUAGAAAUGAAUGGCAAGGAUCAACGCAAGCCACUAACUAAGAAUAAGCACUUAGGUUCUUGGCAUAAUUACCACUGACAAAUUUGUUUAAUUCUUAAAUCAAUUCUCUUUAUUUUAUUCACCUCACAAUUAGUCUUUGAUCAAUAAUUACUGUUCUUUCAAUCUAGUCCUUGUACUUAAUAAUUUAUCUAAUUUAAUCCCUUAAUAAUUCUAAUUUCUAAUUUCAUGUUCAUCUUGUAAAUGUCUCGAUUUAAGAUUUUUGGACUAGUUCGGCUUCGAGAAUUCAGCCCCGAAAUUGAAAUUUCUGACCCCAGUGAAAAUCAGAAUGUUAUAUGCAAACUGCUCGACAUCCUGCAAGGUCUCCAUAAUGGAUUUCUUCACAUUUGUGUCAUUGUUGCUCGUGUCUGAUCCACCCCUGGUAUUCACUUCAACUGUAACAAUGGUCAUAUUCGUUGCCAUGAGUGAUGUGGAAAAAAUUGUUAAUAUUUCGUUAAGUAAUUUGAAAUGGAUCAUGACUAAUUUGGUGGAAAGAGUUAAUAAAAUAAUUUCUCCACAUUUUGAGUGUUCAAAAUUUAAUUUAUUAUAAAAUCUCUUGUAAAUAAUGUUACAAAUGAAUUUGUCAUGUAUGCGUAAACUCUUGCAAAAAAAAAAAAACUAAUUAUAUUUUUUUUCAAAAUAUCUUUUUGUGUCAUAAUUUAAGUUUUCAUAUAAGAAGGUUGGUUUCACUUUAAUACAAUUUCUAUUUUUAAAAAUUACAAUAGUUUAUCUAUAUUUAUAAUAAAAGAAUAACUAAAAAGGUAACAGAAAAAAACUAAAGCAUUUUUCAUAGAAGCAACUACUUUCCUAAAGAAAAGGUUAGCUAUCCAUAGAGUGAAUAUUCAAAUCCUUGUGAUAACAGAAAACAAUGAUUCAAAAUUGUAAAACCAAAAAUGGAUUAGUGCUAAAAGCAAGGAAAUAAAUGAAUGGAUGAGCUUCUUCUAAGGGAUUAAGAUGGAAGAAUGGAAGAGGGGAUUGUGUGGUAUAAAAGGAGAGGUAUGCAUGCAAUUCAAAAUCAACUCAAGCAAAUCAUCUCCCUCUUCCUCUAGAGGGGAUAAACAGUAUAAUAAAUUACAUUGGAGACGUGGUCGGAAAAAAAGGGUAAAGAGAUGGCUCGAUUAACAUUAAUAUCGAUGUUAGUUCUCUUGGCAGGAUCAAUGCUUAUGGUUCAGGGCGGAGAUCCCACCCUUUUUUUCGAAUGGAACGUCACCUAUGGAACCAUUGCUCCCUUGGGAGUGCCAGUAAGGGGUAUUCUUAUUAACGGGCAAUUCCCGGGACCAAAUCUUAACUCUACCACCAACAACAAUAUCGUGGUCAAUGUGUUCAAUAACCUUGAUGAGCCAUUCCUUGUAACAUGGUAAGCGACUACCAAGAGUAGUUUCUUUUUUACAUUAAUAUGAUUAUGCUAGUGAAGAGUCGAGCUAAUUAUCUGUGGAAAUGGGAUUUGUUGCAGGGACGGCGUGCAACAUAGGAAGAACUCUUGGCAAGAUGGUGUUCUGGGAACCAACUGUCCUAUCCCCCCUGGGAAGAAUUACACCUAUAAAUUCCAGGUGAAGGAUCAGAUUGGCAGCUACAUGUACUAUCCGGUGACGGCUAUGCAUAAGGCGGUUGGUGGUUUCGGUGGCCUCCAUGUUAACAGCCGUCUACUCAUCCCUGUUCCCUACGCCGACCCGGCUGAUGACUAUACUCUCUUAGUGGGAGACUUUUUCAACAAGGGACACACCGGCCUCAAGAAGAUUCUUGAUAGCGGUCGCAACCUUGGGAGAUGUGACGGUGUCCACCUUAAUGGGAAAGUUGCGAAAGGUGAUGGGAAGGAUGAACCUCUGUUUACGAUGGAGGCAGGCAAAACGUACAAGUACAGGAUUUGCAAUACGGGUAUCAAGACAUCUCUGAACGUCAGGUUCCAGGGCCACACCAUGAAAUUGGUUG
This 5882-nucleotide long non-coding RNA is filed under the name Gossypium raimondii (Peruvian cotton). Its description in RNAcentral is "long non-coding RNA (GRAI_LNC011022)". The record is from RNAcentral. Lineage: Eukaryota; Viridiplantae; Streptophyta; Magnoliopsida; Malvales; Malvaceae.